RNAcentral lists this ribosomal RNA (537 nucleotides) under uncultured Pseudomonas sp. RNAcentral describes it as "bacterial SSU rRNA". It matches the Rfam family "Bacterial small subunit ribosomal RNA", at positions 86 to 619 of the family's 1533-position model. Lineage: Bacteria; Pseudomonadati; Pseudomonadota; Gammaproteobacteria; Pseudomonadales; Pseudomonadaceae. The record is from RNAcentral.
CUCUUGAGAGCGGCGGACGGGUGAGUAAUGCCUAGGAAUCUGCCUAGUGGUGGGGGAUAACGUUCGGAAACGGACGCUAAUACCGCAUACGUCCUACGGGAGAAAGCGGGGGAUCUUCGGACCUCGCGCCAUUAGAUGAGCCUAGGUCGGAUUAGCUAGUUGGUGAGGUAAAGGCUCACCAAGGCGACGAUCCGUAACUGGUCUGAGAGGAUGAUCAGUCACACUGGAACUGAGACACGGUCCAGACUCCUACGGUAGGCAGCAGUGGGGAAUAUUGGACAAUGGGCGAAAGCCUGAUCCAGCCAUGCCGCGUGUGUGAAGAAGGUCUUCGGAUUGUAAAGCACUUUAAGUUGGGAGGAAGGGUAGUAACUUAAUACGUUGCUACUUUGACGUUACCGACAGAAUAAGCACCGGCUAACUUCGUGCCAGCAGCCGCGGUAAUACGAAGGGUGCAAGCGUUAAUCGGAAUUACUGGGCGUAAAGCGCGCGUAGGUGGUUCAGUAAGUUGGAUGUGAAAUCCCCGGGCUCAACCUGGGA